Molecule: long non-coding RNA, 3042 nt
Organism: Ailuropoda melanoleuca (giant panda)
Lineage: Eukaryota; Metazoa; Chordata; Mammalia; Carnivora; Ursidae
Exons: 3
Source: RefSeq, a predicted model, not a curated record
GGGGGCGUGGGAAGAGCCGAAAUGUCUGGGUGGAACGCGGAGAUCAGAAUUAAGGAUCCACAUCUGUAAAGAUAGGGGAGUGGAAGGAGGGAGCAGGGUUAGGCGGAGGAAGAAACUGAACUGCUCUACUGACCUGCCCAAGUCUUGGCCAACCUGGAGUUACUCUGGAAUAUUGCAUAGGUUGCAGCUGGCUACCAUUUUUAACGGAAUGGAUUUACUGUGGAAUACAAAGGGGUCUCAGCGGUGCAAGGAGUAACUGUAUCAGAGCCUACGGUGUCCUAUAUCACUUCACCUUAGCUUACCUCUGAUUUUAGCCAUUACCACAGCUGACAGUUCUUUGUGAUUACAAACUCAUUUUGUGCUGACAGCAUCCCCCCUCAAGCAGGAGUCUGUUUGCAUGGUCACAUAAUGUGUCAGUUUCUGAUAUUUAAUCUCUACCAGAACCCAGGGGCAAGUUAAGAUCUGCUUUUCAAAUGGAGGACAGCCAGCAGAAAAGGGUAUAGUUUUGCUUCAAUCCCCUAAGGGUCUGCACUGUGAUUAUCUUAUCUGGGUUUUGGCAGAGGCUCUCCCUAUUGCUACAGACACUUCCCACACCAUUGGGUCCGCUGGGUCUCAAGCCCUAGCUUAAACAAUUUACGCCUGCUGCCAAGGCUUUCCUGGCCCCAGGCCCCACUCAAAACUAGCAAUCCUGCGGACUACUUGGUAAAUGGGUUGGAGCAACAUGCUCCCGGGUAGUACCUAUGUUGCCUCCAAAAUCCAAACAGGCUUAUCAUCAAGCUCUGUGCCUCUGUAGCCAGGGUGGUCAAUUCAAGAUGAAGCAACCUGCUUCUCAUUUUAAUAGCUAUAUUUCAACAUGCCCCAGGCAACUGGACCCCUAGAAACUUCAUCCACGUGUCAGGUCCCUGAAUUUUCAUUGAGUUGACCUCCCGUCCUCUGAAAGGCACCUGUUCUACCAAGUAUCUGGAAUGCUUACUACUUCCUGCUCAGCAGGCCCAGUUAGCAUAAUAUCAUCAAUGUAAUGGACCAGCAUGAUUAACUGUGGGUUAUCAAGAUGACAGAGGCCUCCUCUGGCUAUAUUUAUUCCAGAAAGCCAGAGGCUGACACAGCCAUGAGAAAAAGUGAAAUAAUACAGCUGUCAUGCCACCUUGGAGACAGAUUGCUUUGGGGCUGAAAAGAGCUAGAUAGGUUUGCUAAAAUAAAGAUACCACAUCCAGGUUGCAGCUGUAAUUGGAUUCGCUAGCUGAUUACGUAUACAAUAAUCCAUAGUCACUCUCCAGAAUCCAUCAAGCUUUUGCAUCUGCCAAAAGGACAAAUUAGACGGGAUUGUGGUAGGAAUAACUACUCUAUCUUUCAAGCUCUAAUCCUUGCAAUUUCCUCAGGAAUGCAUUACUAUAACAAUGCCAGGGAGGAAGGUGGUUUUGUUUCCUCAAUAGGUGGAAUCCAUAGCUCUGGGCAACUACAAGGUGGUUGCAGUAGGAUUGUCCCUGAUCACUAUUAUUCCUAAUGACCCACACCCACUCGUAGAAUUCAUGUUUCCUGUUCCGUUAUCGUAGGCUCCUACAAGUUCCUAUUCCUGCCUGCGUGUAUGUGUGCGUGCUUCUACCGGGUAACUGGAGGCUACGACUGUGGUUUGCUCACUAUGGGCUCCACGCGCCAACGGACCAACAGACAAAGAUAUUUCUAUAGUGCCAGGGGUAGUCGACCCUGAUUCACAUGAAUAGCAAGGAUUGCUACUUCACAAUGGAUAAAGGAGCAUGUCUGCAAUUCAAGGGAAUCACGGGGGCAAGUCCGGCUGUGUCUCUGCCCAGUGGUAAUGAUGUGGGAGAGCUAGGUUCUUGUCUCAUGGGAGAGGAGUCUCGUGGAUGAAGGAGAGUGAGUAAAUCCUUGUAUUAAGCAAGGAUACAGAAAAAGCUUUCAGGAGUGAUGGGGUCCCAACAGGGUUGCCACCAAGGGCUUUUAGGGAUGGUCUUUUAUAGAAAGCUAACCAGGGAAUUUAAAUCUUUCCCACAUCUCUAUUGAUAACACCAUUGAGUAAGGACUAGUGGUAACACCUUCAAUGGCUUACUUCCCUUUUAGGGUCCAGUAAUUCUUGGUUGGUCACAAGUAGCUGUUAAAACGAAACCUCGCCUCUGACACCUAGGGCAGGGUGGUCUGUUUUGUUCCCUUAUCUCUGGUUUCAUCUCCCACAUUUUGAAUUUUGGGAGCCUGAUCCCAUGGCCCCCUACGUCUCUCUCCCUGCCCAGCCCCACCUGUCCCUUACUCAGUAACUCUGAAUGGGCAAUUGCCACCAUCGCCUGGCAAGAGCAAGGUGAGGGGGCUGAAGGUCUGGCUCAUCCCACCAGGCAAGUAACCCAGACCAGCAAAAGUGCUGGUUGAGAGUGAGGGAAACCUAGAAUGGUUGUUAGAGCAGGAAGAUGAGUAUCAAUUAUGGCCCUGGGACCAGCUGUAAUAAAGGGAUUUAAGUUGGUCUUAUAGUCCCUUUUUAAAGAGAUGCAAGGGGCCAUCAGUUUGAAGAAUUAGAUUUACACUUCUCUCUUGGGGAAAAAGUGACAGCAUUAUUUUUCCCCACACGAGAUCCAGAUAUAAAUGGGUAAGAACAGAUCUAAGUGGCAUAAUGGAUGGUACAAGAGCCAGUUUAUUUCACCCCAGAUGUCCUCAGCCUGACUUGCCCAGUCCUCGCCCCAGGACCUAAGCCACUUGCCGUAUUUUCUGGCCAGACUGGCCGUAGGGAUGGCCUAUUCCAUUCCAGUAGUCACAGCCCUGACCACUGUAUCUCCCAGCUCUGGUUGUCUUAGGCUCCCCGUGGGGUUCAGGAGCAGGUGUCAGCACAACUUCUGUCACGUCCACUGCCAUGGGAGCCACAGCAGCUCCUGCACCAGGUCUGACCCAACUGGACCCUUGGGUGCUCUGGCUCCCCACUCACUUCCCAGAGGGGUCAAAUACGCAACCUGCAGAUGGGAAGGAAUUACUGUCCCAUGCGGAGGAUUCUGGCCAAUGAGGGAAGGCACCCACAGAUAAAUGCCACCCCCCCCCGAUUGUUUU